RNAcentral lists this ribosomal RNA (447 nucleotides) under uncultured bacterium. RNAcentral's name for it is "bacterial SSU rRNA". It matches the Rfam family "Bacterial small subunit ribosomal RNA", at positions 328 to 792 of the family's 1533-position model. The record is from RNAcentral.
UGGCCAGACUCCUACGGGAGGCAGCAGUGGGGGAUAUUGCACAAUGGGGGGAACCCUGAUGCAGCGACGCCGCGUGGGUGAAGAAGCGCCUCGGCGCGUAAAGCCCUGUCAGCAGGGAAGAAAAUGACGGUACCUGAAGAAGAAGCCCCGGCUAACUACGUGCCAGCAGCCGCGGUAAUACGUAGGGGGCAAGCGUUAUCCGGAUUUACUGGGUGUAAAGGGAGCGUAGACGGUAGAGCAAGUCUGAAGUGAAAGCCCGCGGCUCAACUGCGGGACUGCUUUGGAAACUGUUCAACUGGAGUGCUGGAGAGGUAAGCGGAAUUCCUAGUGUAGCGGUGAAAUGCGUAGAUAUUAGGAGGAACACCAGUGGCGAAGGCGGCUUACUGGACAGUAACUGACGUUGAGGCUCGAAAGCGUGGGGAGCAAACAGGAUUAGAUACCCCUGUA